This 253-nucleotide ribosomal RNA is filed under the name uncultured bacterium. RNAcentral describes it as "partial 16S ribosomal RNA". It matches the Rfam family "Bacterial small subunit ribosomal RNA", at positions 524 to 776 of the family's 1533-position model. The record is from RNAcentral.
UACAGAGGUCUCAAGCGUUGUUCGGAUUCAUUGGGCGUAAAGGGUGCGUAGGCGGCGUGGUAAGUCGGAUGUGAAAUCUCGGAGCUUAACUCCGAAACUGCAUUCGAUACUGCCGUGCUUGAGGACUGGAGAGGAGACUGGAAUUUACGGUGUAGCGGUGAAAUGCGUAGAUAUCGUAAGGAAGACCAGUGGCGAAGGCGGGUCUCUGGGCCGAUACUGACGCUGAGGAGCGAAAGCGUGGGGAGCGAACAGG